Molecule: long non-coding RNA, 2180 nt
Organism: Tympanuchus pallidicinctus (lesser prairie-chicken)
Lineage: Eukaryota; Metazoa; Chordata; Aves; Galliformes; Phasianidae
Exons: 3
Source: RefSeq, a predicted model, not a curated record
CUGCCUAAGUCUCAGGUGUGGGAGCUUUUAAAAGAGGGUUUUGAGGCUCUGCUUCUGGGUUUGGGAUUGUUUUGUGGUGCUUGAAAUGAGGAAGGUACAGGGCCAACUGAAGCCUGAAUCUGAGUGACAACCCUGACUUCUCAUGGCACAUCUCAAGAACAAGGCUUUGUCACCAGGUUUACCUGGCCAAGUGUUCAAGGAGGUCAUGGCGAACACAGCAAGAGGAAGGUUUCUCAUAUUCAGCUCCAAGGCUUACGUCUGUACACUUGACAAGUGGUCCUCACAUCUUCUGCUACCCUCUUGAUGGAGCUAAUGAAAGUAUUAAGGUCAGAGCUGUGCACUUCACAGCGCACAAAAUACUCCAGUUCAGCAGUGCCUUCACGGGGCUUUCGGCUGAGUCUUGUCUCCAAGUGGUGGAUUUUAGCUUCAAAUGUCUUGUAGAACAUGGGAAAGAAGAACAAAAGCAUUAAACGCUGAAAGACUGUAACACUUGAGGAAAAACUGAUGCUUUCCAAAGAUGUACACAUACGGACAUUUGUGGGGAGGUCCCUGCUGCUGCACUGAAAAUUAUUUUGACUGAGGUAAACUUGCUUAUCCGUUACCGAGGUUUUGCUUCUGAGAGGGGAAGUCGCUAGGGUAGAAAGCAACUUCCUAUGGUCCCCUUUUCCCUUUAAUUAGUGGAUUUUUGGUGGUGACGAAGGGGGGCAAGGAGCAACCAGGGAGCCGGCGGGCGGUGCUGGCCGUGGUGCUGAACGUGCGGGACCGCCGUCUCCGGGAGUGCACGUUCCCCUUGCCUGCCAUCACAAGUGUUUGGUACCCGUAGAAAAGCAGAGGUUUAACUCACCCACUACACGCCCGAUCGCAGACGAAUACACACACACACUUGAGCAUAAAGUCUGAAGCGAUCGUUCAGUUGCAGAUUUACAGCUGAAAUAAAUCUGUAGAUGUCUUAAUUUGUGUUUAAGCCAGCCAUUGGAAAAAUGUGAAUAGGUGAGUUGUCUAGUUUUUCGUCUGAGAAACAGGAUCUCACCCCCAUUUCAUACGUUUGAUAGCUUUCCUGAGGGACUCGUGACAGUGAUUUAACAGCCAUCUUAUUGCUACUUAAUGUCAUUUGAAGAGUCUAGCCUCACCCUUGUCAACAGUGACUGACAUAAAUACUCCUAUAAGACUUGCACCCCAUCAUUUUCCUCAAUUUUUUUUGUUUGUUUGUUUGUUUUGCUUGUUUUGUGAGGGUUCUUUAGGAGUCGAGGAAGAGGUUUAAGAAGAAACGUUUGUUCUGUCUACAUCCAGCAGGUUGCUAAAUUCUUCUCAGACUCUAGUAGUUACUUGGGGCUCAUCAUUAGAACUGAAUUCACACAAAAAUAAGAAGUGGACAGAACAGAGUCCCAGGUCCUCCAAAAGGUCCUGGUAGAAUUUUGGAUGCUUUCUUUAUCUCUGUGAAAAUCUGGAGUACGAGCACGAGUCCAUGGACAAUGACACAGCCUUUCCAAUGUCUCUGAGAUAUCUUUGGUAGAAGAAAGAGCAUUAUUUCUUUUGUUAAUCAGAGGCAGAUGAGAAGGAACAGAUGCAAUGCCACAGGUAAAUUAAAUUUAGGACUGUGUUUUUGAAUGUACCUACCAACUUCAAUAUUACAUUGUCCCCUCAACAAUCAAUACCUUUGCAUUAAUCUGACAGCUGUGAUUGCAUUACCUAUGCUUUGACUGCAUGUAACACAUACAGCAGAGCGAAACCAGCUUCCCUGCAGCCUGGUUUAUGAUGAGGCAAAUGUCAUUAUGCCCGUCUGCUUUCAUAUCUUGUACCUGCAUUGCCAGAGGGAUCUGGGAAAUGAAUCUUUCUCUGUUGUGGCUUGACAUGUUUGUCUUUUUAUUAUCUUGAAAGCUCUCUCUGUGACAAGAUCGAAGAGCUUUUUUUUUUUUUUCUUCUUUUUUUUUCUUCUCCAAAGCAGAUCUUGAUGCUGCAAGUAAUUUUCUCCAGAAAGAAACAAAUAAUAUUUGGAUGUAAGCUGCCCCUGUCUCUUCCUUGAUGUUUAAAAGCUAUUUAAAUUAUAGACUUAAAAUGUGCUGUAACAUGCAGUCUGCCAAGUACAAGAGUCUACACCUCCAUGCUUCAUACCUGCUAAGCAGUGCGUUGCAUUUGAAAUGUUACACUGAUGGGUUUGUUAUUUUUUUAUUUAUUUUACU